Molecule: RNA transcript, 5240 nt
Organism: Eriocheir sinensis (Chinese mitten crab)
Lineage: Eukaryota; Metazoa; Arthropoda; Malacostraca; Decapoda; Varunidae
Gene name: zwei Ig domain protein zig-8-like
Exons: 2
Source: RefSeq, a predicted model, not a curated record
UGGGAAAAAAACAUGAGUGGGAAAGAAGAAAAUGGAUGAAAAGGACCAAUAGACAAAUGGGAAAAGGAAAAAUGGAAGGGAAAAGACGACAAAGAAGAAAAUAAACUGCAAGAAGAAAAAAAAGGCAGAAAACAUGAAUAAGUAAGAGGAAUACGGACAAAAAAGCAAAGGGAUGUACUAACGCAGCCUCUAUACGGAAGCUUGCAAUCUCAGACGCUCUCACAGCAACUUUUUCCCAAGGCCGCAAAGGAGAGGAGUCGUGUUCUCAUUGAGGGGUUUUGACGUUCAUGGUAUUCAGAAGCCUUGUCCAACUAUCAAAAGGCUCAUAAAACUAUACUCAUCAUGGAAAUAAUAACAGAACCUCUACGGAAACCUUAUCAAAUUUGGGUGUGUAUUGUGUAAGCCUUGAAAAGUGCGGAGGCCUUGUCCAAAUUAUACUAGGCUAAUCAAACUACCCUUCAUGGAAAUACUAACGGAACCUCUACGGAAUUCUUAUCAAAUGUGGGUGUGUAAGCCUUGGGAUGUGUGGAAGCCUUGUCCAACUUACACUAGGCUCAUAAAACUACUCAUCAUGUAAAUACUAACGCAACCUCUACGGAAUUCUUAUCAAAUGUGGGUGUGUAAGCCUUGGAAUGUGUGGAAGCCUUGUCCAACUUACACUAGGCUCAUAAAACUACUCAUCAUGUAAAUACUAACGCAACCUCUACGGAAGCCUUAUCAAAUGUGGGUGUGUGAGCCUUGAAAUGUUUGAGAGUAUGUCCCUGGCCUCACCUCCGCCGCCACCACUAUCCACUAAAUUCCAGUCUCAUCUAUUUCUCUUUCUCUUCCUGCUGCCUCUGCGCCUCCCUGCUUUGCUCCGCCAUGCACCGUUCAUCAUUAUCCCUCUCCACCUCCCUCCUCCCUCUCCUCUCCACCCCCUCCCUCCAUCUCUUAACUCUCUCCUCCUCCUCCUGUCUCUGUCCCGCCAAAACCUGUACGUUCUAAGCUUCAUGAUUCCAGGAAUUUAUUACAUCCAUUCUGUUCUCCCUUUCACUCUUAUGUUUUUUUCUAUCUUUCUUUUUCUUUAUACUUCAUGCUGUUUGUGUCUUCCUGUUCGUUUUUUUCCUUCCAUUGUCUCUUUUGCUCUUUUCAUGUUUUUUUUCUUUCCUUUCCUCUCGUUUCUUUUUUUUUUACUUUUCUUUUUCUGUCUUCAUGCUGUUUGUUUGCUUCUGCCUCUUCGUUUUUUCUUUCCACUGUCUCUGUUUCUCUUUUUUCUUCCGUUUCUCCUUUUCUACGCAUGUUUUUUCUGCCUUUCUUAUUCAUGUUUUCUCUCUGUCUUUUUCUUCUUGCAGUUUAUUUUCUUCUUCUUCGUCUUUUUCCUUCCAUUUUCUCUUGGUCCUUUUCAUCCAUCUUCUUAUUUCCCACUCAUGUUUUUCCUAAUUUUUCUACUUCAUUCCUUUUAUUUUCUUCUUCCUCUUUUCUCUUUCCUGACAUCUUUUCCUCCGCACCUGUCUCUCCGUCCUUCCCCUCUAUUAAUUCUCCGUUUUAUUCUCUCUUCGCCUUUCUCUUUCUUUUCCUCCUCUUACCCUUUUUUCUUUCACCGUCUCCUCUUCUCCCUUUGUGGAAAAUUUCAGAAGUGCACCUGUCUCACUCCUGUGGACGAAAAUGCGUUUUUUUUUUUUAUGACAUUUUGACGUUCCGUUAAUUAGUCAGAUAUCCGUUUCCUUCUAAAAUCGUUCUCUGUCUAACUAUCUAUCCAUUCAGCUAUCUAUCUAUCUUUGUCUCUUUUAUUUGUCUGUGUAUAUCUAUCAAACUAUAUCCAUUUAUCCAUCUCUCUAACUGUCCAUCUAUCUGUCUAUCUGUGUAUCUAUAUCUAUCUAUCUAUCUCUAUUUGUAUGUGUAAAUCAGUCAAUGUAUAUCUAUUAUUAUUAAUCUAUAUCCAUCUAUUCAUCAAUCUAUCUACCUGUGUCUAUCUGUCUAUAUCUAUCUAUCUAUUUGUCUGUCCAUUUAUAUAUGAAAUUUCGUUGUGUGAGGUGUCUGCGGAAUCUAACUAACCUAACCUAACGUAUCCUGCCCUGUUCAUGAAUGGGCGCCACAUAGCAGUAGAGUGAAUAUAUCAGUCUAUUCACAUUUGUACUCGGCCGCCCCUCACCUACCCACCGACCUCAUAACCCAACCCGAACCGCUCCAGUAACCGCAUCCAACCCCACCGAAUACAACAACUCGACUCCGAAAAACAGUAACCUAACCCCCACAGGCAAAGUGAUCUAACUCCAUCAACUUUAGGAAUCCAACCCCACUCGUAACCAGAUUCAACUCUUUUAUUAAUAGCUUUUUUUUUUUUUCAUUGUUUUCUGCCUUCUUCCUCCUUCUCCUCCAUCUACUAGUAUUUAUCAUCCUCGUCUUCUUCGUUCUUCUAUUUCUUGUUCUGUUCGUCCUUCUAUUCCUCGUUCUCCUUCUCCUUCUUCUCCUUGUUAUUCUUCUCCUCCUCUUCCUCGUCCUCAUCCUCGUUUUCCUCUUCUUUUUCCCUCCUUCCUGUCUUCCUCCUCCUCCUCCUCCUCCUCCUUCUCUUCCCUCCUUCCUGUCUUCCUUCUCCUCCUACUCGCCCUCCUGCUCAUCCUCUUCCUUCUCCUUAUGUUCUCCUCUUCUUCCUGUCUCUCUUCUCACCUCUCCUUCCUUUUUCCUUUCCCUUACUUUACUUCCUUUUUCCUGUUAUUUUCGUCCGUUCCAUCGUUUCUAUUAUUAUUUUCUAUAUCCUUCCUUUUUUUCCUCUUCCCUUUCCUUUUUUUCCUAUCUAAUUUUUCCCUUCUUUUUCAGUCUUUUCAUUUUCCCUCGUUUUUCCUUUCCUUUCGUUUUCCUUCUUUUUUUCUUCCCUAUCUUUCCUUUCUUCCUUAAACUUCACUUUCUUAUUUCCAUUUUCCCUUCCAUUUCCUCUCCUCUUUCCUUCACUCUUUUCCCUGCCCUUCCUUUCUCGUACUCUCCUUUCAUUUCUGUUAUUCUGUUCUCUCCUUCAGUGACAUUCUUUCCCGUUCUCUUCCUCCUAUCAUCCAUUCGUUCACUAUGCUCUUUAAUCCAUUUCUCCACUGCCAACAUCUCCUUUCCCUCCCCUCCCUCUCCCCCCUCUUUCAUCCUCUCCUCUGUAAUGUAAUAUAAUGCAUUUGAUCCCCGUGACCCAUUCCUUCGCCCCCUCUCCUUCCCUCCUUCCAUCCUCCUCCUGUUCCCUCCUAACCAUCCUCCUUAUCUCCCCUCUCUCCCCUCUCAACCCGUCCAAUCUUGAAGGUAUCUCAUUGACCUAUCCGCAUUGCUCUCCCUCUCUCCCCUCUUCUUCUCCCUCCCUACUCUACUCUCCCUUCCCCUUCACCGUUUUAUCUUGUCUACUCAUACCACUUCCUCCUGCUUAAUCUUUUCUCCUGUGCCUUCCUCUUCUCCCAAGCUUUUCCUACCUGAUUCAUUUUCCGGCUAUUCCUUCUUGGGGUCACCAUCAGCAGGGACCUGAAACAUAAAGAAAGUACUGUAAGAAAGAUUAUUAAAGUCUAUACGUACUAUGCUCGGGUUCAUAGCGAGGAACUUCGAGUGUAAGACUUCUUUAUUUUUUAUUUUUUUAUUUUUUUUUACGUGCCUGCCAAUAGCGCCGGUAAGCUUUAUUGAGGGGACUGGAUGGUAGUCGGCCCCAGCCCGUCAUGGCGUAGGCAAGUGUUUUAUAGUGGCGCCAUCUUUUUUUAAUCUUAAUACCAUCAAUAUGUAACUCGAUGGUAAGACCUCACCUCGAAUAUGCAGUGCAGUUUUGGUCCCCUAAUUACAAGAAGAACAUUGAGUUAUUUGAGGGUUCAGUGAAACCCUACGAAAAUGAUACCGCCCUUAAGGACUCAACCGUAUAAAAAACGACUCAAACGACUUAAUCUCUUUACGCUGGGAAAGAGACGCUUACGUGGAGGUACAAUUUAGGUUUUCAAGUACCCAAAGAAGUUCAGAAACGUCUUCCACUCCAAGUUCUUUGAGCUCCAAACUAACUCAAGAAAUAGAAAUAAUGGUCUACUUAUCAAGCAAGGCGGUGUAGUACAGACACUGGUAGGAGUUUCUUUUCAAACCGAGUCAUCCGCCACUGAAACAACCUUUCCUGCAGAAAAAAAGCGAAAACCAUCAGCUGUUUUAAAAAUGGCAUCAACUGUUACUUAGUUGCGUCAGGAGUAAGCUAGGCGUGCGUAUCAAGGUGCUUGCAUCUGCUCGGUAGGCCCUGAAGUGUCUGUCGAGUAGAUUUAAACCACCAGAGCGGGCAGCUUCGAAAUGAGCCAAAAGGUUUUCUGUUGCCUGCCUUUCUAUGUUUCCAUGGCUCCUUUUCUCUCCUUCCUUAUCACUUGUACGAUUAUCUUGUCUCUCCAAUUCCUCUUCUCCCGUGAUAAGAUUCAUGAUACAUCCCACCUUCCCCUUACCCCCUUCCCCUCUCCACCUUCUUUUACCUCUCCACCUCUCCCCGUCCCCUCGCGUCCCUGUGAGACAAGACGGCCACACACACCUUACGGCCCAAAUAUUCCCCAUUCCUGUUCUACUCCGCCUCCUCAGCCCACUCCCUUGUCUUCCCUUCUCCCUCUCUCCUGUCCCCCUAACACAGACUUGUAGGAGGACCUUGCAUACACGUCUCACAAUAUUCGUUCCUCCUCUUCCUUCUCCCCUCCUCUUUUUUUUUUACUUCCUUUCUCCUUCCAUUAUCCUUCCUCUCUCUCAUCUUAUAUUUCCUUGCUUUCCUUUUUCUUCUCUUUCCUUCCCCAUUUAUUUUUACUUCACUUCUCCUUCCAUUAUCCUUCCUCUCUCUCAUUUUGUUUUUCCUUGCCUCCCUUUUUCUUCCCUUUAAUUCCCUUCCAUCACCCUUUUCUUCCCCUACCUUUCCCUUUCCAUCCCUUCCUCAUUUCCCUUUUCCUUUCCUUCUCCAUCCUUUCCAUUCCCAUCUCCUCCCUUCCCCAUUCAUUCUACCCCCCCUCUCCUUGAAGAAGCACCCACCGGCUACACACACACACACACACACACACACACACACUGAGAGCCUUCGCCGUUUCAAUAUCCCGUGACAGCCUCUCGCCGUAAAUCAGCUGGUGGCCGCCUGUUGCUCGUCUCGGCCCCAAAUCCGCGCUCGUGGUUGUCGUCGUCGUCCGUGCAGAUCGACGUGAGCACCACCGAGCUGUCCGACAUCCCGGAGCCCUCCAUCGACCCCUCCACGCCGCGAAGAGUGAGGGCGUUCGCGGGCACCACCGUCCUCAUGCCCUGCG